This 449-nucleotide ribosomal RNA is filed under the name Alcaligenes sp. RNAcentral's name for it is "bacterial SSU rRNA". It matches the Rfam family "Bacterial small subunit ribosomal RNA", at positions 355 to 795 of the family's 1533-position model. The record is from RNAcentral. Lineage: Bacteria; Pseudomonadati; Pseudomonadota; Betaproteobacteria; Burkholderiales; Alcaligenaceae.
UGGGGGAUCUUUGCGACAAUGGGCGGAAGCCUGAUCCAGCCAUGCCGCGUGUAUGAUGAAGGCCUUCGGGUUGUAAAGUACUUUUGGAGAGAAGAAAAGGUACCUCCUAAUACGAGGUACUGCUGACGGUUUCUGCACAAUAAGCACCGGCUAACUACGUGCCCGCAGCCGCGGUAAUACGUAGGGUGCAAGCGUUAAUCGGAAUUACUGGGCGUAAAGCGUGUGUAGGCGGUUCGCAAAGAACGAUGUGAAAUCCCCGGGCUCAACCUUGGAACUGCAUUUUUAACUGCCGAGCUUGAGUAUGUCAGAGGGGGGUAGAAUUCCACGUGUAGCAGUGAAAUGCGUAAAUAUGUGGAGGAAUACCGAUGGCGAAGGCAGCCCCCUGGGAUAAUACUGACCCUCAAACACGAAAGCGUGGGGAGCAAACAGGAUUAAAUACCCCUGUAGUC